UCGUGCCGUCGAAGAACUGCAAAGGAGACGACAUACGGCUUUGCUUGCAAAGUGUUCUAAUCUCUCUUGGGCAAGUCCUCGAACUGAUACUGCAGCAAUGCACCGACAUAGCAGCUCGGUCUAUUCUCUCUGUCGUGCAUAUGGACUUUACCCGGCGAAGAUAUGAGCCUUGUUCAAGCAUUGCCCGUGCGGAUUGAGACAUUCUUCGUUUUAGACGAUAGUUAUGCAGUUUAGCAUGUCCGAAAGGAUGUCAAAACACGAUGAGGCUUACUCUCGAUGCACG
Molecule: RNase MRP RNA, 283 nt
Filed under: Taphrina deformans PYCC 5710
Lineage: Eukaryota; Fungi; Ascomycota; Taphrinomycetes; Taphrinales; Taphrinaceae
Description: RNase MRP
Rfam family: RNase MRP
About the family: RNase MRP is an enzymatically active ribonucleoprotein with two distinct roles in eukaryotes. In mitochondria it plays a direct role in the initiation of mitochondrial DNA replication. In the nucleus it is involved in precursor rRNA processing, where it cleaves the internal transcribed spacer 1 between 18S and 5.8S rRNAs.
Source: Rfam by way of RNAcentral